GGGUCAGUAGGUUGGUCGUGCCACCGGUACGUACUGGUCUCACUGAUUCCUCCUUCCUGAAGAACCGUAAUGCCAUUAAUUUGGUGUUGCGGGGAAACAGGACUGUUACUUUGAAAAAAUUAGAGUGUUUAAAGCAAGCUAACGCUUGAAUGCAUUAGCAUGGAAUAAUGAAAUAGGACGAUCGAUCCUAUUUUGUUGGUUUCUAGGAUUGACGUA
This 216-nucleotide ribosomal RNA is filed under the name Glomeromycotina sp. RNAcentral's name for it is "partial small subunit ribosomal RNA". The stretch from base 40 to 216 matches the Rfam family "Eukaryotic small subunit ribosomal RNA", at positions 686 to 864 of the family's 1831-position model. Lineage: Eukaryota; Fungi; Glomeromycota. The record is from RNAcentral.